Molecule: long non-coding RNA, 228 nt
Organism: Dermacentor albipictus
Lineage: Eukaryota; Metazoa; Arthropoda; Arachnida; Ixodida; Ixodidae
Source: RefSeq, a predicted model, not a curated record
UGCCAUUCGAUCUUUGCUGCUUUUCAACGAAGUCCUUUGACGCCAACUUGGGUCACUGAGUACGUGCCAGUAGAAUGCCUGAAACCUUUCCUGGUGGAAACAUUGCCGAUAUUUGUGACUGUGACAGCGAGGCCGCUAAACAAGUAUGCCGGGGGGACUGCGCCUGCUGGUCAAGAGGGGAUGUGCCUCAACCUUAUACGUGUGUUAAGAACACAAGGAAAUGAUAAG